RNAcentral lists this ribosomal RNA (460 nucleotides) under uncultured bacterium. RNAcentral's name for it is "partial 16S ribosomal RNA". It matches the Rfam family "Bacterial small subunit ribosomal RNA", at positions 338 to 795 of the family's 1533-position model. The record is from RNAcentral.
CCUACGGGUGGCAGCAGUGAGGAAUAUUGGUCAAUGGACGGAAGUCUGAACCAGCCAUGCAGCGUGCAGGAAGAAGGCUCUAUGAGUUGUAAACUGCUUUUGUACAAGGGUACACCUGAAUACGUGUAUUCAGCUGAACGUACUGUACGAAUAAGGAUCGGCUAACUCCGGGCCAGCAGCCGCGGUAAGACGGAGGAUCCAAGCGUUAUCCGGCUUUAUUGGGUUUAAAGGGGGCGUAGGCGGAUUGAUAAGUUAGAGGUGAAAUGUCCGAGCUUAACUCGGGAACUGCCUCUAAUACUAUUGAUCUAGAGAGUAGAUGCGGUAGGCGGAAUGUAAUGUGUAGCGGUGAAAUGCUUAGAGAUCAGACAGAACACCGAGUGCGAAGGCAGCUUACCAAGCUAUAUCUGACGUUGAGGCACGAAAGCGUGGGGAGCAAACAGGAUUAGAUACCCGAGUAGUC